UGGGGAAUAUUGGACAAUGGGGGCAACCCUGAUCCAGCCAUGCCGCGUGAGUGAUGAAGGCUUUAGGGUUGUAAAACUCUUUCAGUGGUGACGAUAAUGACGGUAGCCACAGAAGAAGCCCCGGCUAACUCCGUGCCAGCAGCCGCGGUAAUACGGAGGGGGCUAGCGUUGUUCGGAAUUACUGGGCGUAAAGCGCGCGUAGGCGGACUUUCAAGUCAGGGGUGAAAUCCCGAGGCUCAACCUCGGAACUGCCUUUGAUACUGUAAGUCUUGAGUCCGAGAGAGGUGAGUGGAAUUCCUAGUGUAGAGGUGAAAUUCGUAGAUAUUAGGAAGAACACCAGUGGCGAAGGCGGCUCACUGGCUCGGUACUGACACUGAGGUGCGAAAGCGUGGGGAGCAAACAGGAUUAGAUACCCGUGUAGUCC
RNAcentral lists this ribosomal RNA (424 nucleotides) under uncultured prokaryote. Its description in RNAcentral is "bacterial SSU rRNA". It matches the Rfam family "Bacterial small subunit ribosomal RNA", at positions 355 to 796 of the family's 1533-position model. The record is from RNAcentral.